Molecule: RNA transcript, 1877 nt
Organism: Trachemys scripta elegans
Lineage: Eukaryota; Metazoa; Chordata; Testudines; Emydidae
Exons: 2
Source: RefSeq, a predicted model, not a curated record
CGCGGCUGGGGCCCGAGGGAAAUGGGGCACUGGGGAUGAGGGGUGCGCGGGGACAACGGUCACUGCGGCUUCCCACGGGGCCGCGGCUGGGUGCGCGGCGGGCGGGGCGUGGGGCUGUGUCACAGCACCGGCUGCACGCGGAAUGAGUGCGGUGCUUCGCGCUAUGGGCCACUAGCAGGCCGGGGCGGGGGGGGCGGGCGGUGCACUGUGCCCCUCGCUACUCGGGAGAUGGGUGUUUCUCCUCUCGCUCCUGCUUUCCCCGCCGCUUCUAAUGUACGUGCUCGAGCCAGCUGGCGGGUUAGUAAACAACAGCCUCUGACAAUACACCUGGAGACGCGGCUCCGCUUCCUUCUCUGGGGUUGACAUAUGUGAGGCCUGGCGUUUGAUACUGCCGGCGGCGGGGAGAGGCUGUACAGGAAGAUAGAAUAUCUUUAAGUAAAAAUCUACAAAGGAUUUAAAAGCCUCAGAACAAUCCUUUGAUCUCUGACAAAGGUCUAAGCGUUUGGGGUUUUUUAAUAGGGUUUAUGGCUUGCUUAUUUAUCUUAGACAUGGUAAAAACACACCUCCUGGUCCUCUCCUUCUGAGCUCAAACCUCCAAUUGAAGGGGUGGAUGCAUUUCUGGACCUCAUAUAGGAGAUGGACCUAGCCUUGUCUCUGAGCAGCAUAUGUUGGGCCCUUGGCCCUGGAAGGCCUUGGACUUGUUGGAGCGUUCAGGAGAUGCCAGAAUUUGGCAAGCCUACCAUGCAGGCCUGAUGCACUUUUUUCUCUUCAGAGAAGAGAUGGGAAUGCCUGCAGUUUGGCCAGUUCCAGAGGAUCAAAUUAGAGGGUUUAUGGUGGCUAUGGAAUCACAAGGCUUGUCCUCACCGAAAAUACUGAUGUACUUGGCAGCACUGUCCUAUAUCUCCAAAAUCACAGGUCACCCUGAUCCUCUUCAAGAUUUUGUAACAUGUCAUAUGGUGGCAGGGUUGCAGUGGAGGGAAGGUAAUCAAAGAUAUUGCAGAUCUCAUGUAACCAUUGAGGUGUUGCGAUCUCUCUUGGGCACAGUACAAUCUGUGUGUAGCUCUCUUUAUGAAUGUUUGUUGUUCCGUGCCUUGUUUACUGUGGCUUUUUUUGGGGCUCUUCGGGUGGAAGAAGUGGUAGCAGAACACCACAACUGGGCACAGCCAGAGCUCCUGUACAUGAGUGAUAUCCAGCUGACUGAGGAAAGAGUGAACAUUUACCUGCAUACAUCCUACCUGGGCCAAGAAAGGCUUUUGAUCUCUCUUGGAUUAUCUAGCGAGACAUGGGUAUGCCCUGUUGAGGCACUGUGCAAUUACGUGGCAGCCAGGCCACGAGGGGACGGGCCUCUUUUUGUACACUGGGAUGGUACACCAUUGACAAGGAGACAGUUCUUGGCUGUCUUCCGUUCUGCUUUAAGGUUACUUGGCCUUCGUCCAGAGCAAUAUGGUGUACAUUCUUUCUGGUUGGGAGCUGUUGUGACUGCUAUAUGCUAUAGAUGUUCUGAAGAAACUAUUUUGCGCCUGGGCAGGUGGCAAGGUAUCCACCCAAAGAGGAGACAGAAGUAGUCAACCACAGAAGCCAAAACAACAGCUAAUGUUCUCUGGUCUAUUCCACUUGCUGAUGCAGUAUUGUUUCCUCACAGUGUGUGAUCUAGUGCUCUGAUGCAUUAACUUUGAAGUAAUGGAGCAACUUUUUCAGAGAACAUUCUAGUUAAUUGACAUUUCUUGAGUUUGCAGUGUGCUGCCCUCUGCGUUUGUUUGUAAGCUGUGUGUGUUGGGGAUUGGACUUCAUGUCUCUUUGCAAAAUUUACUUGCAAGAAUUGCUUACCUAGUAAAGUCUUCAUGAUCAAUAAACUUGCGGUUCAAUCUCUUUUCAAA